Molecule: ribosomal RNA, 483 nt
Filed under: uncultured bacterium
Lineage: Bacteria
Description: partial 16S ribosomal RNA
Rfam family: Bacterial small subunit ribosomal RNA
Source: RNAcentral
GACGAACGCUGGCGGCGUGCUUAACACGUGCAAGUCGAACGCUGAAGCUCAGCUUUUGUUGGGUGGAUGAGUGGCGAACGGGUGAGUAACACGUGAGUAACCUGCCUCCUUCUUUGGGAUAACGCCCGGAAACGGGUGCUAAUACUGGAUAUUCACUGGUCUUCGCAUGGGGGUUGGUGGAAAGGGUUUUUCUGGUGGGGGAUGGGCGCGCGGCCUAUCAGCUUGUUGGUGGGGUGAUGGCCUACCAAGGCUUUGACGGGUAGCCGGCCUGAGAGGGUGACCGGUCACAUUGGGACUGAGAUACGGCCCAGACUCCUACGGGAGGCAGCAGUGGGGAAUAUUGCACAAUGGGCGCAAGCCUGAUGCAGCGACGCCGCGUGAGGGAUGGAGGCCUUCGGGUUGUGAACCUCUUUCGCUCAUGGUCAAGCCGCAACAAUGGUUGUGGUGAGGGUAGUGGGUAAAGAAGCGCCGGCUAACUACGUG